Molecule: non-coding RNA, 767 nt
Organism: Triticum urartu
Lineage: Eukaryota; Viridiplantae; Streptophyta; Magnoliopsida; Poales; Poaceae
Source: RefSeq, a predicted model, not a curated record
CUCGAGGCGGCGGAGGCGAGGUCCUGCCGACGGCGGCGCAGGUUGAUUGGAAUUCAGUUUUGCAAGUCUCUGCAGCGGUCAAUGAAAAAGAAGUAACAGGGAUGGUGUGCCCAAUCUGCAAGUCCGACUGAGCUAGCCAUCGCUCAUCGGGUUUAAAUUUUGGUGUUUGAUUGUCUGAAGACAUUGAAAGCUCAGUGUUUAUCCCAUGCCACUCAAUGGUCGAAUUCAAUUGCGCCACUGGCGACCGCAUGCUUUUUGAGGAAUGUGAGGGGUGCAAAUUCAUCACCGAGAUCAGGAAAGAACACAGGAGGACCUGCAUCUGUGGCGUUGGGUGGGAGGACUUCAUCAGGUUGAAAAAUCUCAGUGAGGGAGUUUUGCUCCGUUUUGUACUCGAUGGACCAGUGCCAAAGUUGCAUGGUUGCGCCAACUCCCAACCAGGCUGAUCUAGCGCUUGAGGCUGCUGUGUUCACGGAAGACAUCAAGAAGAAGGCAAGAGAGAGUGCAAAGCUGUAUGAAACUCUACUGUGUUGACCAACGGAUACAUGGGGUGCCAUUUGUGCAUCUUUUUUUGUUCAUUUUCAGUGUGACCAUUCAAUCCUUAGUUUUCUGGUCUCCGGUAUAUUCUUGUUGUGGUCAGUUUUGAACUAGAGAAGAAAGUUAAAGGGACAUAUAGCUAAGCGAGACUCUGGUUUGCAUCCAGCAUCAUGUUUACUUGGCUCCUAUUUUUGUUACUUUUUAAAGCUAUACUGUCACUCCCAUUUAGUCCA